RNAcentral lists this long non-coding RNA (1076 nucleotides) under Sus scrofa (pig). Its description in RNAcentral is "lncRNA (ENSSSCG00065067289.1)". Lineage: Eukaryota; Metazoa; Chordata; Mammalia; Artiodactyla; Suidae. The record is from RNAcentral.
CACCAAAUUUCUCAAAUUCCAGAGGAAGAAGCUGAUCCUCAGGAAAACAUCUAAGACAACACCUGAAGAAAGGCUAUGACUGAGUACAAAGGACUGGAUAAGCUUCUUUUUAACCUAACUAUCCUCCAAGUUCUCAUUUGGAUAAUUUCAGUCCUCUUUGCUUUUCUUGCCAUUCCAUGUAAGCCAACUCCUUGGUAUUCCUCAGACUGUCUCCACAAAAUACAUCAAAUUCUCUUGAAGACAAAAGAAAACAGUAGAAAAAAUUAACCAAAAUCACCCAAGGACAAACUGGCCCUUCCUUGGUUCUGAUCAGACCAAUCUCAGCAUAAUUACUAACCCAUCUAUUUAACCAGCAUAAUUAGUAACCCAUCCAAUGACCCAGGCUAUUAUUUUACUAGAUUCAAAGGCUUUUUCUCAUCAUUGAUCUCUGGCUCCAAGGAGAUUUCACAGCAAUGCCUCCAGACUUCAUAACACGGACAUCUGGGAUAUUUAUCUGCUCCCUUAAUGGCCCAGGCCCCUCUCUGUAACAGAAGAAGACUAUGGGAUGGCAUUUUGGAGAAUGGUCUCUAGGAUACAUGGAUCCUGGAUAUUGCAACUUAACUAUAGAUUUAUGGCCCCCAGCUUACCAAGAGUUUGUACCAUUGCCUAAGCCUACAGCACUGUGGGGAAACUGGAAAACCAUUGACUCAAUCACAGACAAAUGGGCCAACUCCAUUCUGGCCUUACAGACCUACAGAUAUCACCAGAUUCCUUCUACCGCCUCCAACCCCUAAUCGAUGUCUCCAUUCAGCAGGAAGAAGCUACAGAAGAAGGGACCUUUGUCCCUCUUUCCUGUUAAAAUCAGGGAGGAAUCUUAGGUGGGAACUAAAGGGAAGGUCUAAAAAAUAAGUCGCCAUGAUUCAUUGACCCACCCAGACCCAGACUUGCAGUCUCCAUGUUAUUGCACCUCUGCAGGUGAAAACCACCAAGCCUAUGAAGUGGUUGAUUUUCCAAGGACAAAGACAGCCCCAAGGAGAAAGCUAAAUUUUAUAUCAUGAUCUCAACUGCCAUCCUGGACCUAGAGAACUCAGCACAUG